AAAAGUAGUUUAUUAAAAACAAUAAAUUGCAAGUUUAAAAUUAAUUUAAGAAAUCAAUUUAUGAUG
Molecule: transfer RNA, 66 nt
Filed under: Tetragnatha moua
Lineage: Eukaryota; Metazoa; Arthropoda; Arachnida; Araneae; Tetragnathidae
Description: tRNA-Cys
Source: RNAcentral